This 941-nucleotide ribosomal RNA is filed under the name uncultured bacterium. Its description in RNAcentral is "bacterial SSU rRNA". It matches the Rfam family "Bacterial small subunit ribosomal RNA", at positions 8 to 955 of the family's 1533-position model. The record is from RNAcentral.
AGAGUUUGAUCCUGGCUCAGGACGAACGCUGGCGGUGCGCCUUAUGCAUGCAAGUCGAGCGAAGCUUUUCAGUAGUUUACUACAGAAAAUGACUGAGCGGCGAACGGGUGAGUAACGCGUGAGCAAUCUACCUUAGUUACAGGGAUAGCCCGAGGAAACUCGGAUUAAUACCUGAUAUUCUUUAUAUUUCGCAUGAAAUUAAAAGGAAAGGUCAGCCGAACUAAGAUGAGCUCGCGUUCUAUCAGCUAGUUGGUGAGGUAAAAGCUCACCAAGGCUACGACGGAUAGCUGGUCUGAGAGGACGAUCAGCCACACUGGGACUGAGACACGGCCCAGACUCCUACGGGAGGCUGCAGCAGGGAAUAUUGCGCAAUGAGCGAAAGCUUGACGCAGCGACACCGCGUGUGGGAUGACGGAUCUAGGUUUGUAAACCACUUUCAGGAGGGAAGAAAAUGACGGUACCUCCACAAGAAGCCCCGGCCAACUACGUGCCAGCAGCCGCGGUAAUACGUAGGGGGCGAGCGUUGUCCGGAUUUAUUGGGCGUAAAGAGCUCGUAGGCGGUUCAACAAGUCGGUCGUGAAAGUUCAGGGCUCAACCCUGAAAUGUCGAUCGAUACUGUUGUGACUAGGAUACGGUAGAGGUGAGUGGAAUUCCGAGUGUAGCGGUGAAAUGCGUAGAUAUUCGGAGGAACACCAAUUGCGAAGGCAGCUCACUGGGCCGCUAUCGACGCUGAGGAGCGAAAGCUAGGGGAGCAAACAGGAUUAGAUACCCUGGUAGUCCUAGCUGUAAACGAUGGAUACUAGACGUAGGAACUGGAUUGACGGUUUCUGUGUCGCAGCUAACGCGUUAAGUAUCCCGCCUGGGGAGUACGGUCGCAAGACUAAACUCAAAGGAAUUGACGGGACCCCGCACAAGCGGCGGGGCAUGCGGCUUAAUUCGAU